Molecule: ribosomal RNA, 253 nt
Filed under: uncultured bacterium
Lineage: Bacteria
Description: partial 16S ribosomal RNA
Rfam family: Bacterial small subunit ribosomal RNA
Source: RNAcentral
UACGAAGGGGGCUAGCGUUGCUCGGAAUCACUGGGCGUAAAGCGCACGUAGGCGGCUUUUUAAGUCAGGGGUGAAAUCCUGGAGCUCAACUCCAGAACUGCCUUUGAUACUGAGAAGCUAGAGUCCGGGAGAGGUGAGUGGAACUGCGAGUGUAGAGGUGAAAUUCGUAGAUAUUCGCAAGAACGCCGGUGGUGAAGACGCGCGGCUGGACCUUUUCUGACGCUGAUGCACGAAAGCCAGGGGAGCAAACGGG